AUGUACACUGCGGGUCCCACUGUGAAGCCCUCUGUGUCUCUGCUCCAUCCAUCGUCUCUGCAGCUCUUUGAGGGACCGGCCUCGCUGCUCUGCCUGCUGUUUGCCUACUCUCCACAGGGGGUGAUGGUGAGCUGGACAGUGGAUGGCUCAGUGGUGAACGAAGGGGUUCUAACCAGCCCUGAAGAACAGAAGAAGGACGGUUACACACGCAGCAGCACCCUGACCCUCAGCAAAGCGCUCUUGGAAAAGGGGGAGGAAUUUGUCUCUACCGUCUCCCAUGACAGUGUCAAUCAUCUGAUCAAGUUCAGAAAGAGCCAGUGUGAAGACUAA
Molecule: non-coding RNA, 330 nt
Organism: Silurus meridionalis
Lineage: Eukaryota; Metazoa; Chordata; Actinopteri; Siluriformes; Siluridae
Source: the annotation of a RefSeq genome assembly